RNAcentral lists this ribosomal RNA (403 nucleotides) under uncultured bacterium. RNAcentral's name for it is "partial 16S ribosomal RNA". It matches the Rfam family "Bacterial small subunit ribosomal RNA", at positions 28 to 526 of the family's 1533-position model. The record is from RNAcentral.
GACGAACGCUGGCGGCGUGCCUAAUACAUGCAAGUCGAACGCAGUGGGGACGGGUGAGUAACACGUGGGUAACCUCCCAUCAGAGGGGAUAACACUUGGAAACAGGUGCUAAACCGAUACUGAUGGAUGGACCCGCGGUGCAUUAGCUAGUUGGUGAGGUAACGGCUCACCAAGGCCACGAUGCAUAGAGGACGUGAGAGGGUGAGAGGGGAAACUGGGACUGAGACACGGCCGAGAGUGCUAGGGGAGGCAGAAGUAGGGAAGAGUGGGCAAUGGAGGAAAGUCGGAGGGAGAAACGCCGCGUGAGGGAAGAAGGGGUGCGGAAGGUAAAACGCGGUUGUAAGAGAAGCGGUAUCUAACCAGAAAGCCACGGCUAAAUACGUGCCAGAAGCCGCGGUAAUAC